UACGGAGGGGGCUAGCGUUGUUCGGAAUUACUGGGCGUAAAGGGCGCGUAGGCGGCCGUUUGCGUCGGAUGUGAAAGCCCGGGGCUCAACCUCGGAACGGCAUUCGAUACGGGACGGCUGGAGACCGGGAGAGGAGAGUGGAAUAGCCAGUGUAGAGGUGAAAUUCGUAGAUAUUGGCUGGAACACCAGUGGCGCAGGCGGCGUCCUGGACCGGCACUGACGCUGAGGAGCGAAAGCGUGGGGAGCGAGCCGG
Molecule: ribosomal RNA, 253 nt
Filed under: uncultured bacterium
Lineage: Bacteria
Description: partial 16S ribosomal RNA
Rfam family: Bacterial small subunit ribosomal RNA
Source: RNAcentral